RNAcentral lists this ribosomal RNA (674 nucleotides) under uncultured Chloroflexales bacterium. RNAcentral describes it as "bacterial SSU rRNA". It matches the Rfam family "Bacterial small subunit ribosomal RNA", at positions 359 to 1051 of the family's 1533-position model. The record is from RNAcentral. Lineage: Bacteria; Bacillati; Chloroflexota; Chloroflexia; Chloroflexales.
GAAUAUUGCACAAUGGACGGAAGUCUGAUGCAGCGACGCCGCGUGGAUGAAGAAGGCCCUCGGGUUGUAAAAUCCUUUACAGGGGGAAGAGGAAGGACGGUACCCCUGGAACAAGUGUCGGCUAACUACGUGCCAGCAGCCGCGGUAAGACGUAGGACACAAGCGUUAUCCGGAUUUACUGGGCGUAAAGCGUCUGCAGGCGGACAGGUAAGUUGGGCGUGAAAGCUCCGGGCCCAACCCGGAGAGGUCGUUCAAUACUGCGUGUCUAGAGGGUGUCAGAGGGGAGUGGAAUUUCCGGAGUAGCGGUAAAAUGCGCAGAGAUCGGAAAGAACACCAAUGGCGAAGGCAGCUCCCUGGGGCAACCCUGACGCUAAGAGACGAAAGCUAGGGGAGCGAACAGGAUUAGAGACCCUGGUAGUCCUAGCCCUAAACGAUGGAUGCUGGAUGUGGGGCCAUAGCGCUCCGUGUCGAAGCGAACGCGUUAAGCAUCCCGAAUGGGGACUACGGCCGCAAGGUUAAAACUCAAACGAAUUGACGGGACCCCGCACAAGCAGCGGAGCGUGUGGUUUAAUUCGAUGCUACACGAAGAACCUUACCUGGGUUUGACAUCUAGGUGGUAGUGAAGCGAAAGCGGAGCGACCCUUCGGGGAGCCUAGACAGGUGCUGCAUGGCUG